UUUUUCUUACUUUCUUUUUCUUUUUCUUUUCUCUUACUCCUACUCUUUCAUUAUCUUUUUUUUUUUUUUUUUUUUUUUCUCUUUCUUUCUUGUUUUCAGUCUUCUAAGGUUUUUGUGUGUGUGUGUUUGGGGUUCCUCUCCUGUUUAACUUGGCUAAGGACGGACACUUGGAUGGCUUUCCCCACUGCACAGGACACCAUCUGCAUCAGCCUCCGGUUUUCCUAUGGAACUGUGUAUUUAACAUUCUUCAUCCUGAGAUGUUAAUGGGACUGAUGUCAGCAUCCACUCAGCACAGUUUUGCCAUCCAGCAUCUCGGCUCUUGUUACGGUUAAUGGAAAGGAGAGCAUUUAUGUACCUGCAGGAUCUUUUCCUAGUGUCCUCUGAUACAUAAAGAAGAUUUGUGAAACAAACAAAAGCUUCUCUAAGGGGAGAAGGACUGGACUAGAGGUACCUUCACACAUCGGAGAGUCCGUGGUUCCAUGAUUCUGUAUUCAAAGAAAGCCCUUCUGGAGUAGCAUGGAGACAAAAUAACUUCUCUGAUAGGAGAGGAACGAGUGAAAUGGCACCAAUUUAUCUUGAGACAAGCAAGAAAGGAAGCAGAAAAAGGCAUGAAAUGUUCCAGGUACCUGUCCCAGAAAAGAAGAAGAACAGCAUACCCCGGAGGACUUUGCAUUCAGAGAGGAGAUAAAACACCUGGCAAAGUCAAGGGACCUAGCUCUCUUCCCUUCUGCUCGCCCUGACUGCACAUCUCAUCUCAGCAUUAGAGUAAGGCCCUUGGCUUUUGGACAGUCUCUCUCAUUAUAUUUGACUUAUUAGCUUCAAUUCUAAUUAUAUUGUAUUAUAUUGUAUUAUAGUGUGUUAUCUUUCAUUCCGAUGUUUUAUUUAGUAAAACAGUUCGCUUCUUCUCAGACUGUUGCUGUUGUUCUGUUUUUAGGUCCAUCUCUCUACCCUUUUCCCCAUUUUUCCCUGUUUCUGUUUUUCAAGGCACGGAUCUGUGGGUCCCUCUGUCCCACUAGUCACAGAACUGGGCCAAACCAGCCCAUAAACCUUUGACAGUGUCUGACAUGGAAACAUACAUGAAGCAAAGGUGUGUCACUGAAUUCCUCUGUGCAGAAAAAAAUGGCACCCAUUGACACCAGUGCUUGCUGAAUGUUUUUUAUGGAGAUCAAGCACAGUGAACGCAGUGAGGUGAUGAGUGGCACGUUUCAGCAGUGGUUACAGUGACAUGAAAGACAAGACACAUUCCAGAUGGCCAUGUACGGCUUUCACACCACAAAAUGAAGAGCAUCUCAAUUGGAUCAUCUGUACAAAUCAGUGGAUUACAACCAGGAAACUAUGUACAGAACUAGAUCAGUGUGUUGGGAAUGAUGGUGACAGUGUUGGAGUAUCGCAGCAUUUGAGCCAGGUUGUUCCUACUGAUGCUCACAGAGUAACAGAAGGAACAUCAUAUGGAAGUUUGUCAGGACCUAUUGAACCAAUACAAGGCUGAAGGUGACAGUUUCUUAGACCACAUCAUUAUCAGUGAUGAGACAUGAUGUCACCACUACAAGCCAGAGUCAAAACAGAAGUCCAUGAUGUGGUGGCAUGUGAAUUACUCACCAUAUAAAAAGUUCAAGACAAAGCCCUCAGUUGGUAAAGUGAUAUGCACUGCCUUUUGAGACAGGAAAGGAGUGAUCCUUCUAGAUUUCCUGGAACCUGGACAAAUCGUCAACUCUGACCACUACAUUGUGAUGUUGACUAAGCUGAAGACUCAAACUUCCAGAAUGAGGCCAGAGAUCAAGAUAACCUGAUGAACAAGAUGGCUGCAUGAUAAUGCCAGGCUCCAUACCAUUUUUAAAACUGUGGAUCAUGUUGCCAGUCCUGUGUGGAUGUGGUAAGCUGUACUGUCUUACUACACCCACCACAUAGUCCAGAUUUGAUAUCUUCUGUGUGGGCUACAUUUUCUUAGCAGCUAUGCCACUACAGCAUCUGUGAAACAGUGGGUCCACUGCUCUACUAGUGCAGAUUUUUACAAGCAUGGCAUGCAAGCUGGCAAAAAUGCAUUGCUGGUAAAAAAUGCAUUGGUAGUGGUGGUGACUAUGUGGAAGAGUAGCGUUCUGUAGCUGAGAGUUUUCUCUAUCAAAUAGCGCUAUUGUUCUCGUUGUAUCUGUUGUAGUUUCCAUGGAAAUAAAUAGGAAGCAUUAAUUUUGAAGCAACUUAUGUGUAAAGUACUGAUAUAAAUCUGUCUUUUGUUUAAGUUCCUUCCUUACAACUUUUCCUUUUGUUUCAGUUCUCUAAUUGGAAAAUGCAGAAAAAAAAAAAGCAGAAAUCUUCCUUGUAAAUUGUUUUAAGAUUAAGCUUCUUAUUAAAAGCAAACUUUACUUAUUAGAACCUUAAAGACUUAAAGAACCUUACUCAUUGAGGGGAACUACCUCAUGCUUUCUUAGUAGCAAUAACAAAAUGUUUUUUGUGGUUUUUUUUUUGUUUGUUUGUUUUUGUUUUUUUUUUUUUUGGUCACAUCCUGCUCAACUACAAAGGAUAACACAGAAAGUCUGCUUUUUAGAGCUGUUUUUUUUUUUUUUUUUUUUUAAUCCUUAUACCCACGAGCUUCAGUCAUCUUUAAGAUUUAGUACUGGAGGGCUGCUAAUUAGAAUCAGAUUUGUAAUAGUUUCGUUCAUUCUUUUGAAGACCCUCAUGUAAGAAAUUUUCUGAUUAAUUAUCAAUAAACUUGAAAUAUAGAUGCAGAGAAUCGUAAAUAUAUGGCUACAAGGGAUCUGGUGAAGAUGUCUAAUUCAAUUACUUGACCCAUGGCAAGAUCAUCUGCAGCUAAAGUAUUUCUGACGUAUUUAUCAAGUCUAGUCAUAGGACUAUCAGCAGUGGACAUUGUGCAACCUCUCAAGACAAACUCUUUUCAAGACAAAAAAAAAAAAAAAAAAUCAAAACACAGCCUUGUGUUCUAGAGACAGGAUAUAAAUUAUGGCUGUUUUUAUUUCUCCUAGAUGAUGUGGUGGUAGCUGGGACUAUAUGAGAUGACUGGAUAUGUGUGUGAAUUGAUUGUCAGAUAAUCUUGUUUAUGAAAUAUAAGCAUGAUACCAGACUACAUAGUUUAAAGAUAAUUGUCUCAAGGAUUCUGACUUUAGACAUAUUAAGAAUAUGUUCUGGAUUCUUCAGAGAAUCCCAAAAGUUUUAAAAACACAAAUGUAAUUAGGAAUCUUUGUAUUCAGAAGUGGGAUGUGGACUUUAGAAAGACGUACAGCUCUCACCC
This 3244-nucleotide long non-coding RNA is filed under the name Gallus gallus (chicken). RNAcentral describes it as "lncRNA (ENSGALG00010015857.1)". The record is from RNAcentral. Lineage: Eukaryota; Metazoa; Chordata; Aves; Galliformes; Phasianidae.